Molecule: small nuclear RNA, 107 nt
Organism: Rhinopithecus bieti (black snub-nosed monkey)
Lineage: Eukaryota; Metazoa; Chordata; Mammalia; Primates; Cercopithecidae
Source: Ensembl
GUGCUUGCUUUGGCAGAACAUAUACUAAAAUUGGAAUGAUACAGAGAAGAUUAACAUGGCCCCUGUGCAAAGAUGACAUGCAAAUUUGUGAAGUGGUCCGCAUUAAA